This 1180-nucleotide long non-coding RNA is filed under the name Homo sapiens (human). Its description in RNAcentral is "non-protein coding lnc-FEZ2-7:1". The record is from RNAcentral. Lineage: Eukaryota; Metazoa; Chordata; Mammalia; Primates; Hominidae.
GCCUCCCCCUCCCCCUCUCGGGCGGCCGGGCCCUUCCUCCCUCCCUCACACGCCUCCACCUCUUCCCGAUCUCCUCCUCCCCGAGCCCGGCGCACCGAGCCGGCCGUGCCACCGAGCUGCGGCUCUGGCCCCGGCGCCGCGGGUGCGCUGCGGAUGGGCUUGGGGCGCACCCAGCGAGCAGCGAGAGUCGCGGUGUCCCGGGCGCUCGCUGGCACCGUGGCCGCAGCGGCCGGCCUGGGAGCCAGGAGGGCGAGGCGGCUGCACCUUCGGGGCCAGAUUGGAGUUCGAAGAGUGGCGGGUACCCCAGAAGCUCGGGGCCGGGGCGAUGGCUGCAGCCUCGGGAGGGUAUCGCCGGAUCGAACUCCGGGAAAGGGAAGCAAAGGCAUGGAACCUCCGCACACUGGAUGAGAAUCCAUCUUCCAUUCGAGCUGGGAAUAGACUUUGUGAAAGAUAUUAUGUAAUGGAGUCUCGGGAACCCUGAGACCUCUCCAGCGAAGCUGAAGUGAAUUAAUUAAGUGCUUUAAACGGUCUUGGUGCUGUGUUACGGGAGAGAGUGACUGGAAAGUAACAAAGCUGAAUCUUUCUCCCUGGAGUAAGGCCGAAGACUGGAUUACUACACGCCUAGACGUGACACUACACCCAUAGAUCUCAUGCAUCAUUAAUGCCAUAUGACAUUGCCAUUUUCUUUCUCAGUUCACGGACAAAAGUGGUGGGUUUUCAUUGUCUUCACUGAUUGUCAAUGCAUUAAUAAAGAAGAUGUGUGGUACAUAGUCUUUGUGAUAAAUCAGGUAAAGAAGCAACGGAAGUGAUGCAAAAUGCACGGUGUGGAGAUGGUUUCUCUUCAGUGGUUGUCAGAAAAGGUUUUCGUAAUGAUGGCUCUGUCAUUGAUGGGAUAUGAAGUAGUAAUCCGCUCCGUAGUGACCUACCAUUCACAAGAUGGGUACCAGGUGAAUAACAUUAAUUAAUUGACAAAAAGUGACUGUGGUCAAUGGGGGAAAAAAUCGAUCCCGUGGCAGGUGUGACGUGGGAAUGGCUGGCCCACCCUCUGAUCCAAGAUGGUCUGGCUGCAGGAAGGUGGCAGCCAAGUGGAUUCUGAAAAUCGUGACUAAUGAACCGAAAGUUAAUAGCUGGCAGUGCAAGGAAAGAGGAAACAAAGCUACCUUUGAAAUGUUAUGUUUGU